This is a long non-coding RNA of Clupea harengus (Atlantic herring), 415 nucleotides long. The record is from Ensembl. NCBI's taxonomy places the organism in Eukaryota, Metazoa, Chordata, Actinopteri, Clupeiformes, Clupeidae.
UAAAAGCUGAUGUUAACAGGUUUAAUCCCUUUAGUCCCUGACCAUUGCGAUUCCUAUAACUUUGUUUCCACUGUUCGCCAGUGGUGGCUUUGUUAACAGCACAUUGAGCAUAACCUUGGGCCCUUCUGCUUGGAGUUCAUGACACUAGCCAUGACUUUUUUUUUGACAGGUGACCUCCUAGAUCAAUUCAAGGAGCAGGAGUUGGCCAAAUCAGGGCCAAAAGACAUGGACAACACCAGGCAGCGGGUCGCCAAUGUCCGGGAAUUCCUCCUCCUUUGUUGUGAUGGAGUGCCGCGGAGGGACCCGCUGGCCUUAAAAGACCAGAGGCGGCUGGCUGUGGCCUGAUGGAUCAACGCCAUCAGAAACAUCACCAUCCAGGAGGUCGAAGAAACAUCACCAUCAGAAACAUCACCAU